AGGCUGGGGUGGGGACCUACCCGGGUGGUGGUCGGGACGCUGCGGGGCCCUCGGCUCAUCCUGGCAGCUGCUGCUGGCUGAGGGGUCCCCGGUUCCGUCCCAGGCCCAGCGAGCUCGUCCGUCCGGGGAGGCCUCUCACAGCAGGGCCGAGUGUGGGGGCACGGAGGGCGGGGUGGGAACGCCCGCACACCCAGCUCAUCAGACCGGUUGCUUCCCGGGGAGACGUGUUUUGUGUGGAAAAAUCCUGGGAGACAAGUUUGUGCGGCGCCGAGCGCACCUGGAGGCGCACGCACGCCCGGACACGGCCAGGCCCGCCCUCCGCGGGGGUCCAGCCGGUCUCCCUGGGCCCUGGCGGCCAGGCCUGGCCCAGGGCUGGGGCAGGUUCCGGGCGGAGGUCUGGCAGGCUUGUGAGGAGAGGCUUGGGUGGACGGGGCUCUGGUGGGGUCCCUGCCACGGGCGGGAGAGGGGUGCCGGUGGGGGUGGCCCCAUUUUCAACACUCGGCAGGGCCCCGGGGCCAGUUCGGUGAAGCUCCUGCUCUCUUGGCAGGGAGGGGCCUGUGGAGCCCUGGUUACCAUCUGUGGUGCUUCGGUGCCCAAAGCUGUAAGGAGCCCCCCUGAGGACAUGUGACCCCCCCAACCAUGGGACCUCGAGCCUCUGUGACUGGGAUCUCCGGAGAGCCUGGGGUCACUUUUUCUAAUUGCUGCAGGGCCAGUGGGACUGGCCAUGGCCUGGACCUGCCCCCACUGCUCUCACCCCAGGCUGGAGCCCCUCCGACCCUGGACCAGCCCAGUUCGGUCCUCCGCUCCCCAGACCCAGGGUGUGGGGUGAGCACAGGGGGCGUGGUGGCUCCGGAGGAGGCAGGUCUGUGGCAGAGGGAGGAGGAUUCACCCAGAAGCUUGGAGACAGCCCGUGCAGCCCACUGUGGGCCAGACUCCGUGGUCUGCAUUUAACCCCUCCCUGGGCCUUUGAUGCAGCAUCAGGGCGCGAACCUGGAACCUGAGGGCCUGGAAGGGCAGAGGGAGGGGCUGGCGGAGGCCCCAGCAGGAACCCGCUUGGCCCGGGAGGACCCAGAAUGGAAUGGUGGCUGGAGCCGCGGCCGGGCCAGCACCGAGUAGGAGCAGCAGUGGAGUCCUGGGUGCUUUCCAGCAGGGGAGCGGCUGUUAGAUUUGUGUUCAAAGGAGCACCAGCCUCGGGUUUCUCCUUCUCUCCCCCUGGCACCGGAGGAGUGAAAGCCGAUGCCACCUCCGGCAGAGUCCCGAGAAAACGGGUGAUGAGGGUGCACGCGCUCGCUGGGUUCAUGAGGACUGCCCAGCACCAGGCGGGUGUGGAAAACGUCGCACUCCGUCUAAUCCUACGGGCACCCCAGGAGGCCAAGUGCAACCGCCUCCCUUUCCUUUUUUUCUAAAUCCUCACCCGAGGAUAUCUUCCCAUUGAUUUUUACAAAGAGUGGAAAAGAGAGGGAAAGACAGAAACAUUGAUGUGAGAGAGACACAGCGAUGGGUCGCCUC
This is a long non-coding RNA of Myotis myotis, 1509 nucleotides long. RefSeq lists it as uncharacterized. The transcript is spliced from 3 exons. NCBI's taxonomy places the organism in Eukaryota, Metazoa, Chordata, Mammalia, Chiroptera, Vespertilionidae. The record is from RefSeq and is a predicted model, not a curated record.